Molecule: long non-coding RNA, 223 nt
Filed under: Elaeis guineensis (African oil palm)
Lineage: Eukaryota; Viridiplantae; Streptophyta; Magnoliopsida; Arecales; Arecaceae
Description: long non-coding RNA (EGUI_LNC081631)
Source: RNAcentral
GAGGUCCCGACUGGGGGAGGACCAGCAGCAGCUCCGGAUGGUCUGGCUUCAUCAUCGGACACCUCGUUCAGGAAGUCGAGAUCUAAUUCGGGAAACCUCCCAGCCACCUUCUUUUGGCAGAGUUCGAAACCCUUGAUGAGGGCAUCCUGAGCGAACUGGACCUUUAGAUCCUCCAUCUUGGAGGAGGCCUUAAGCUCCUCCACUGCUCGGACCCCGGCCUCCA